CCGAACACCGCCAGCUUCUUGUUGGGAGCGGGGCGAUGACGGCACCUCUGGUUGUGCUGGAAUUUCUGUCGCUUUCAUUCUUUGAGCUGUUUUGGAGCGUCAUUGCCGAGGUUUCAGUCGCCUGGCGGCGUCUUCACCCCCGAGUGCCAACGCCGUUUGUUUUCUGUCAUUGUGCAUGUUCGCUGGGAAUAGAGCCGCUGGAUGCAAAGCUCCAUAGCGCUGCUCUGCUACCUGCAGCUGGUCAAGAAGUCGAAUAAUGACCUCGAGCAGUAAAGCAGAUUUUGUGGCUUUAGAGUCGGAAGUCGUAAACCGAUGUGUUGGAGCACCAAAGUGACAUGGCCAGCUCCAGAGCAGCACCCGGGCCACACUGGACGUGCCAGGCACCGUCUGCUGUGUGACUGAGGCAGUCCAGGAGCUCUGCUGUGAGUAGCUGUGAUACCCUGUAGGUGCGGGGUAGGCCCAGCAGCAGAGGAGGAUGAAGAACACGUGAAGGUGGCCGCGUGUUUCAGGCUGUGUUGCUUACUGAUGAAAUGUCAGUAGUUGGACUUUUCUGCUAACACCUGUACAGUCUCUGGAGUGCUGAUAUAAGGCGUGUUUAGUGACGGGGCACGUGGCGGUGACCGCAGGGGUGAACACGCUGCAGGGCGACUGCGGGUGUCCGUUAACUUCAUAUCAUGAGGACCGAGUCGGCAUAUCUGACACCUGGUGUUCUCGUAUAUAGACUGCCUUCAUUCAGAAGAUCCCACAGAAACGUUUCCAAGCGUUCGGCCGCCACGUCGUGUUUUAUGCCGUUGGUCUGCCUUGAAGAGCUGGGCCAUUCGAACACAGACGGGAAAGAAGAGCCAGAGAUGCAACUCUUAACAAAAAAAAGAAAAGAAAAAAGGCAACUAACGUGUCCCCGGGUCCCUCUGAGUAUCAUUCGUUGUGUGUUUUUUUGUUUGUCGGCGUUCUUCAUCACACGAGGCUGUGUUCACUCAUGGGUAGAGCAGAGUAGUCAUCGAGUCUCAACAAGGUUUUCUUUCAAAGAGCCCGAACUUGUGUUCCAGUCAGACUGGACCUCUCCCUCUGUACAGUAGGUACCUCGAGUGCCUUUCUUCAAACAGCAGAUAAUAUUUGUCUCUUGACUUGCACUGUGACUUGUAGAACCUUACUAACCCCUCCAUAUGACCCUCCGGUCCCCCGUCCCAGGAGCUCCCCCCAAACUCCGGAGCACAAACUCGGUCCCUCCACCUCAGGCUGCCAGUAGUCAAUGCAAGUUAAUCUACAUUUCAUAUAUGAUGCCGUUUGAAAUCGACCGCAUAGUGUUUUGUUGAUGUUUAAUAGAGGAGUUGCCUUACAUGUGGUUUUGUUUUUUCUUUUUUUCCUGUGAUUAACUUUUACAUUCUGAUUUAAAAAAAAACAAACACCUGUGCAGACGCUGGCGAAGGUCAGAGGUCGUUUGGUGAGAAGCAGUCGGGGUUUUCCCGACGAUGAUGACGAUGACCCGCUCGGAGCUGUGUUGUGAUGCACUUUUUGAUUUGACCAGUAUUAUUGGACCGGGAUCGGUCUGCGACGCAGAGCGCAGGCGUGGAUCCCAGUUCCCCGAAUUUCUUGGCUGGACUCGCGUUCGUUUUAUUUUGAAAGGUCCGUCGUCCCCUCUGCACUGUUCUGGUUCUUCUUUGGCUUCAGAGAGUGCCCGAGUUUGCUAAAUCAGGUCACGUGAGGCGUCUGGAAUGAUCAAACUUGGGCCUGAUUAACAACAUCUGUCAGUGCAGCGGCGGCAGCGGAGCACAUGCUUUCUUAUGCAAACUUUGAUACAAGACGUGUCGAACCUUUUUUUGAUAUGCAUCUGCUUUUAUUUUUACGUUUUUAUGUGAAACUUGAGUCGCUUUCUUUUCUUUGGACGUUCUGGCAGACACGGAUGCCAGAGCACGCCGUUUAGGUGUUAAAUGUUGCAGCAACCAUCCGUGUUCAGCGGGUUUCUUUGUUUUUCUGGGAGGAGCACCAGAAGAUUUUUCCAUGGAUGUAUGAAGAAAAACUGGACACCUGUUCUCCACUGACACAGUGCCGUUUGUAGGGCAGUCCUACCGCAGAACGCUUACCGGUGAUUGGUAGAAGUAGCCUGCGGAUUUGGAGUAACAUCACCCCAAGUUUGACCAGCACUUGGUUCAAACAUGAACGCGGUCGACUGAUUGUGUCCGCUGCAAGUUUCUUCCUGGGAAGUUACCCAACAUUGACCUCAUCAGCACCUUGUCAGUGGAACGCAGGAGGAAGAACAUCGAAAAAGUAGUCCUAGCUUUGUCUGGCUUGUGGGUUAAGUCUUUUCCUGGCAGGUUUUCAGAGAAAUCGGUGCUCUGAUUGGUUCUGCUGUGUUCACUGACUGUUUGAUUCAUGGCUUGGCUACAGAGUAGGAGAUCUGUGGGGGAAACGAGGCAUGCAUUAGGCCGGAGUGUCUGCCCUGCAUCAGCUCUCUGAAUACAUCCAUGGAUUUAGGUUCUUCGUUGUAGUCUUGAUUUGACUGAUGUGGCUUGUCGACUGUCGGGAUCCCAGCAGAGCUGCGAGGGUUCGGGGAGGGAGGCUCUCUCUAAAUUGCUUCUCAGUUUCGAUUUCGCCGAGCUGUCCAGGUGAACUUAUCCAAAGAACACUGAGAACACACAUUUUGUCUCUGCAUAUCAUUCGGAUGUCGUUUUCCUGCGUUAGCAUCGCGCUUGUGCAUUCCCGCCCGUGGUCACAUUAACCAUUCAUGCGUUAAAAAAAAAGACUGUCCUGGGAGGUCGUUCCUGCGAGGUAGUUUGCUCUGACUUUUAAGUUUUAUCAGUUUUAAAACGAUCAAGUCAUGAUUGUGGCCUUCUAGUAUUCUGUCAGUACAUGACGUCAUUAAUCUCUCGUGCCCGCCCGCCCAUCUGUCUGGACCCAAACGUACACCUGCAGCUUCUUACCUCAUCCACAGCUGAUUCCAUCGGGGGUGUGUUGAGUGCAAAAAAAAGAAAAGUUCAAAAAAAGAAAAAACAAAGAGAAGUCUUUUUUUAUCUUCCAUUUGGUGAGAUGCAUUGUAGCGAUAUGAAUAAAGAAAAAGUUCACCUGGUGUGCUGAAUAAUGUGUAAAUUGGUAAUUACACAAUCUGAAUAUUUGUAUAAUUGUUUGUAUUUUUUCAUAAUGAUUUUGGAAAGGAAUGUGUUUAUUUUUUUGACUUCUGUUCCAGAUGUGUCUUCUGUUGGCCUGACAUUGUGACUGGUCUGGUGGGAUUCUUACCUCUGUAUUGAGCCUCUUCUGUGAUGAAUUCUUUGUAUGCAGUGUUUAGGAAAUACUGUAGGGAACAUGGGGAGGAGUUGAUAUUAGGAGCAUUUGAUCAAUUUGUAUUUAUUUAUUUUAUCAUUUUGUUAAUAAAUUGUGAAAAGCAGACCGUCUGGUACCUGCCUGUUUAUUUCUUGGGCUGUAUUUAAGAUUUUGUUUUUAAGAAAAAAGCCAUGUUAAUUACGAACAAAUGUUCGUAGAGUCCCUAACAAUAAAACAGCCGGCC
Molecule: long non-coding RNA, 3499 nt
Organism: Oreochromis aureus
Lineage: Eukaryota; Metazoa; Chordata; Actinopteri; Cichliformes; Cichlidae
Source: Ensembl